CCUACGGGUGGCAGCAGUGGGGAAUAUUGCACAAUGGGGGAAACCCUGAUGCAGCGACGCCGCGUGAGUGAAGAAGUAUUUCGGUAUGUAAAGCUCUAUCAGCAGGGAAGAAGAAAGACGGUAUCUGACUAAGAAGCCCCGGCUAACUACGUGCCAGCAGCCGCGGUAAUACGUAGGGGGCAAGUGUUAUCCGGAUUGACUGGGUGUAAAGGGAGCGUAGACGGCUGUGCAAGUCUGAAGUGAAAGGCCAGGGCUCAACCCUGGGACUGCAUUGGAAACUGUGGAGCUAGAGUGCUGGAGGGGUAAGUGGAAUGCCUGGUGUAGCAGUGAAAUGCGUAGAUAUUGAGAGGAACACCAGUGGCGAAGGCGGCUUACUGGACAGUAACUGACGUUGAGGCUCGAAGGCGUGGGGAGCGAACGGGAUUAGAUACCCGUGUAGUC
This 441-nucleotide ribosomal RNA is filed under the name uncultured bacterium. RNAcentral describes it as "partial 16S ribosomal RNA". It matches the Rfam family "Bacterial small subunit ribosomal RNA", at positions 338 to 795 of the family's 1533-position model. The record is from RNAcentral.